This 1152-nucleotide long non-coding RNA is filed under the name Zostera marina. RNAcentral's name for it is "long non-coding RNA (ZMAR_LNC003602)". Lineage: Eukaryota; Viridiplantae; Streptophyta; Magnoliopsida; Alismatales; Zosteraceae. The record is from RNAcentral.
UCACACUCUCAGUCUGGUAACAGUUAUGGCCACGAAAGUCAUAGCUCGCACUCUCAGUCUGGUAACAGUUAUGGCCACGAAAGUCAUAGCUCACACCCUCAGUCUGGUAACAGUUAUGGCCACGAAAGUCAUAGCUCACACUCUCGGCCCAGUAACAGUUAUGACCAUAGCCCACGCUCUCAAUCCUAUGACAGUGAUGGCAACCAGAGCCACAGUUCACACUCGCAAUCAAAUGCAUCACAUUAGUAGUGAGGAACUAUCACCUGUUAAGAGAUAGGAUUGGCCAGAGUAACCAUGCAGGCUAUGCUUCUGUCAGUGGCAACCAGUGACCAAAACAUGUCGAUUGUUUUAUUUGUCGCUCAUGCUAUUCUCAUGUAUUCUCAAUAGCGAUAUUAUUCUAAAUAAAUCUCUCUUUAACCCAUAGAGAUAUAUGCAGUACCAUUUUUAGAAUAAUCAUCCAUCGCUUCAGACGGAUCAAUCAUCCAUCGCUCCGGCUAGAUGACAUCCGUCUCUUCAACCUCAUGUAUCAUCCAUCGCUUUGGCUGGAUGAUACACGCUGCUCAGACCUAGCUUACGACCCGCGAAUCUAAGCGAUGGUUACAAAAUCCAAUUUACGUCCAAAGUGACUAAAAUUGCGAUUACAAGUCUAGUUUACGAUUUAUGAGUCCAAAGUGCGACUUAAGAAUCUAAAUCGGACUCUCAUUUACGAAUCUAGCCCGAUAUUCCAAAUUUUCGACUACAAUCAACGAUACCCUCGUUUUCAAUCUAUUUUGUCGCUAUGGCCUUAAUAGACCAAGGAUCAUUUUGUCGCCUUGGCUUCAAUGAUCCUAUCCCAUCUUGUCGCUAUGGCCUUGAUAAGGAUCGAGAGUCACUCUGUCGCUAUGGCCGGAGCUUGACUAAUACACCAGGGUUCAAGUCUAGAAUUGUAGUCCCUAUGCUAGUACAAGUUACAAAAUAGAAUAGUUAGAUUUUAUUUUUGUAACACUCUUUCGAAAUCACUACCUACGACUCUAACUAGUACCCUACAUUAGAAAUCUAUUUUGUCGCUUUGGCCUUAAUAGAUCAAGGUCCAUUUUGUCGCUUUGGCCUUAAUGGACCAAGAAUUAUUUUGUCGCUUUGGCCGUAAUAAUUCUUCUAUCUUGUCGCUUUGGC